AUUGAACGCUGGCGGAAUGCUUUACACAUGCAAGUCGAACGGUAGAGGGGGCAACCCCUCGAGAGUGGCGAACGGGUGAGUAAUAUAUCGGAACGUGCCCAGUCGUGGGGGAUAACGUAGCGAAAGUUACGCUAAUACCGCAUACGAUCUACGGAUGAAAGCGGGGGAUCGCAAGACCUCGCGCGAUUGGAGCGGCCGAUAUCAGAUUAGGUAGUUGGUGGGGUAAAGGCUCACCAAGCCAACGAUCUGUAGCUGGUCUGAGAGGACGACCAGCCACACUGGAACUGAGACACGGCCCAGACUCCUACGGGAGGCAGCAGUGGGGAAUUUUGGGACAAUGGGGGGCAACCCUGAUCCAGCAAUGCCGCGUGAGUGAAGAAGGCCUCGGUGUAAGCUCUUUGUCAGGGAAGAAACAGCAGCUCUAACACAGUCUGCGAAUGACGGUACCUGAAGAAUAAGCACCGGCUAACUACGUG
Molecule: ribosomal RNA, 476 nt
Filed under: uncultured bacterium
Lineage: Bacteria
Description: bacterial SSU rRNA
Rfam family: Bacterial small subunit ribosomal RNA
Source: RNAcentral